UCCUCUUCUGUUCUCAGCUGUGUCCUCGGUAUCGCGGGAAGGUAGGACUUUAUGGUCCUUAAACACUGAAUCACUUACACGUUGCUGCAGCUAAAAGAGAGGCUCCUGGCGGGAGUCAGAGCUGUUACCUGAGGCAGGAAAUCUGGAAGCUGGCACCACGGCGAGAGGACUCAGAGGAUCCUGGCUGUAUCCAGAGCAUUCGUUUUGUGCCAGUACCUGAAUCCUGAAGGCAAGUCCACGCCACACACCCUAAGACACAGAGCUGGCCCCACACCUUCAGUCUUCCUCCACCAAGUAGAGCUGCCUCAGGUCCAAGAAUCACAGCUAACCAAAAUGACCCCAGACCUGGGCCACCAUUAUUCCUUCUCCUGACCAGACGUCACCUCCUCAACCUCCGUGCUCCACCUAAUACUAUGCCCUUGACCUUGUGGUGAGGACUUUGCGUGAACGUCUCUUCCACACCAGAAUAUAAGCACGUGGAAGGUGAGAGCUUGUUUUAUUAAGCCUCAGCAUCCUCAGUUUCCCCAAAUACAUUCACAGUCAACAAUUGUGACUUGAGUUGGGUUGAAUUCAGUGAGCUGAAUGAUUUGGCUUGCAUCAGAGCAGGCCUGCAGACGUCGCUGGCUGCAGAAAAGGACUGACACUCCAGGACUGGCUUUCAACUCAGACCUUAUCCAAGGUGGGAAACAGAAACUGAGAAAUUAGAGUUUAUGAAACGGACAUGCAGAGAUCACUGAAGCAUCGUAUCUGCUCAAAUUCGCUUUACAAAACCUUAUUAAAUUCAAUUUCACAGGAUAUAGUUCACAGAUUUAGAAAUUAGUUGGAUAUCAAUCAGCUUGACUUACUCUCGUAGGAUUUUCUCUGAAGAUAAACUGACUAGCCCGUCAGGCUGUGCAGUAGCCUUUGGUCACCCUCAAAGGCCUUCAGGGUCGGUGUGCUCCCUCAUCUGAACACUCGCGGCCACAUGCCGAGCGGGCGUGACGUGCACAGCUUACACUGGGGGCCAAAGCUUUGAGGAAACACAGCUCAUUCUCACUCUUCCAAAGUAACCAUCUAUCAGUAAACUUUUUAUUGCAUUUAUUUUAAAAUCAUGAUUUAAGAAGUUAUCAAGUGAC
Molecule: long non-coding RNA, 1115 nt
Organism: Hipposideros armiger (great roundleaf bat)
Lineage: Eukaryota; Metazoa; Chordata; Mammalia; Chiroptera; Hipposideridae
Exons: 3
Source: RefSeq, a predicted model, not a curated record